GGGCCCGCACAAGCAGUGGAGUAUGUGGUUUAAUUCGAAGCAACGCGAAGAACCUUACCAGGUCUUGACAUCCUUGGAAUCCUCAAGAGAUUGGGGAGUGCCUUUCGGGGAGCCAAGAGACAGGUGGUGCAUGGUUGUCGUCAGCUCGUGUCGUGAGAUGUUGGGUUAAGUCCCGCAACGAGCGCAACCCUUGCCAUUAGUUGCUACGCGCAAGCGAGAACUCUAAUGGGACCGCCGUUGACAAAACGGAGGAAGGUGGGGACGACGUCAAAUCAUCAUGCCCCUUAUGACCUGGGCUACACACGUACUACAAUGGCCGUUAACAGAGGGAAGCGACCCCGCGAGGGUGAGCAAACCCAAAAACGGUCUCAGUUCAGACUGCAGGCUGCAACUCGCCUGCACGAAGUCGGAAUUGCUAGUAAUCGCGAAUCAGCAUGUCG
RNAcentral lists this ribosomal RNA (440 nucleotides) under uncultured Bacillota bacterium. RNAcentral describes it as "bacterial SSU rRNA". It matches the Rfam family "Bacterial small subunit ribosomal RNA", at positions 917 to 1359 of the family's 1533-position model. Lineage: Bacteria; Bacillati; Bacillota. The record is from RNAcentral.